GAUCCUGGCUCAGGAUGAACGCUAGCUACGGGCUUAACACAUGCAAGUCGAGGGGCAGCAUUUUAGUUUGCUUGCAAACUAAAGAUGGCGACCGGCGCACGGGUGAGUAACACGUAUCCAACCUGCCGAUAACUCAGGGAUAGCCUUUCGAAAGAAAGAUUAAUACCUGAUGGCAUAGGAUUAUCGCAUGAUAAUCCUAUUAAAGAAUUUCGGUUAUCGAUGGGGAUGCGUUCCAUUAGUUUG
This 243-nucleotide ribosomal RNA is filed under the name uncultured bacterium. RNAcentral describes it as "partial 16S ribosomal RNA". It matches the Rfam family "Bacterial small subunit ribosomal RNA", at positions 15 to 248 of the family's 1533-position model. The record is from RNAcentral.